GAGGAAUAUUGGUCAAUGGACGGAAGUCUGAACCGGCCAAGUAGCGUGCAGGAUGACGGCCCUAUGGGUUGUAAACUGCUUUUGUAUGGGGAUAAAGUUAGGGACGUGUCCCUAUUUGCAGGUACCAUACGAAUAAGGACCGGCUAAUUCCGUGCCAGCAGCCGCGGUAAUACGGAAGGUCCAGGCGUUAUCCGGAUUUAUUGGGUUUAAAGGGAGCGUAGGCUGGAGAUUAAGUGUGUUGUGAAAUGUAGACGCUCAACGUCUGAAUUGCAGCGCAUACUGGUUUCCUUGAGUACGCACAACGUUGGCGGAAUUCGUCGUGUAGCGGUGAAAUGCUUAGAUAUGACGAAGAACUCCGAUUGCGAAGGCAGCUGACGGGAGCGCAACUGACGCUUAAGCUCGAAGGUGCGGGUAUCAAACAGGAUUAGAUACCCUGGUAGUCCGCACAGUAAACGAUGGAUGCCCGCUGUUGGUACCUGGUAUCAGCGGCUAAGCGAAAGCAUUAAGCAUCCCACCUGGGGAGUACGCCGGCAACGGUG
This 539-nucleotide ribosomal RNA is filed under the name uncultured bacterium. RNAcentral's name for it is "bacterial SSU rRNA". It matches the Rfam family "Bacterial small subunit ribosomal RNA", at positions 356 to 896 of the family's 1533-position model. The record is from RNAcentral.